Long non-coding RNA from Cuculus canorus (common cuckoo), 1259 nucleotides. RefSeq lists it as uncharacterized. The record is from RefSeq and is a predicted model, not a curated record. The transcript is spliced from 3 exons. NCBI's taxonomy places the organism in Eukaryota, Metazoa, Chordata, Aves, Cuculiformes, Cuculidae.
CACCCUCCCAUCCCUGCUUCAGCAAGGAAACCAGCCCCAAAGACUUGAUAAAUCAUUGGAUGGUUUGGGUUGCAAGGGACCUUUAAGCCCAUCCAGUUCCAACCUCUCUGCCACGGGCAGGGACACCUCCCACUGGAUCAGGGGCUCCAAGCCCCAUCCAACCUGGCCCUGAACACCUCCAGGGAUGGGGUGGCCACGGCUUCUCUGGGCAACCUGGGCCAGGGUCUCCCCACCCUCGCUGUAAAAGCCACAGCAUCCUCUAGCCUGGCAGAUGGGUUUCUGAUGGUACAUUACCAAGUCUUCACCCUGCUGAUAUCCUCGCAGGCUUUGUGGCUCUUUGAAGCCAGAGACACUUAGGAGAGGCUGAGCAAGCCCACGGACUGUAAAUGCUAUACAGAAUAUGCAGAUAAUCAUCACAGCCAGUGCUGAGGCCGCGCGCUCCCGAGUACCAUUGUAGGAGUGAGCUAGCACUGCAGGGAGGUUGCGAUUGCUCAUUUUCUAGCUGGUUGGUUGAGAGAAAAGCAAUGUCACCUGUGCUGCUCCCGGAAGGUUGUUGCUUAGUGUCUGCUUCAAUUUGUCAGGUGUUUUUUCCAGUCAUGGCGCUGACAAAGCCACCGAGUCCAUGAUGGACCUCAAGGGCAGCCCGUGAGCUGUGCGGUGCGGAAGAGAGCAGACGGACACGUGCACCCCACGCACUGGGAUUCCUCACCUGCGGGAUCAGAAAAUCCUUUCGGCGCUGGUGUCAGAAGCUCUGAGAGGUAAAAAAGAAACUUCAGUCCUCAAAUAGCCGUUGCUGAGAGUCAUUCUAGAGACAAGAAGAAAAAUCCAGAGACAGAUGAUCAAAAGUCCAUUGGAGAAUGCCCGUUUCCAUGAAGGGGCUCUCCUCUCGAGCUGGUUGUUCGCCUUCUCACUCUUUGAAAGGGCUUCUACACCUGGUCGAUCAAACUUUUGAGAUGAAACCGAGUUGAUCUGAAAGUCCCCGACACACGAUACGCUCGGUUCCCGUAACGGCGUUUGCCUGGCAGCACCCUGAUGGCACCCGUAUCCAAACCUACAGGCUCUCUCCUUGGAGCUCCCUCUUUUUCUUCGGAUGUGACCCUUCCUUACAAAUAAAUCUCAAAUCAGCCAGAGAACUCUGACACGUUGCUGUUUAACACCCUUGCUUCGGGCUGGCCUCAGUGAGACACAGCCACUUGUCUGCACAUCGGCUUUUAUUCUGCAAAGGUUAAGUGAUCAGCAAUAUUUUAUAUUUUUAAGGA